Molecule: ribosomal RNA, 253 nt
Filed under: uncultured bacterium
Lineage: Bacteria
Description: partial 16S ribosomal RNA
Rfam family: Bacterial small subunit ribosomal RNA
Source: RNAcentral
UACAGAGGUCUCAAGCGUUGUUCGGAUUCAUUGGGCGUAAAGGGUGCGUAGGCGGCGCGGUAAGUCGGGUGUGAAAUCUUGGAGCUUAACUCCGAAACUGCAUUCGAUACUGCCGUGCUUGAGGACUGGAGAGGAGACUGGAAUUUACGGUGUAGCGGUGAAAUGCGCAGAUAUCAGGAGGAACACCGAUGGCGAAGGCAGGUCUCUGGGCUGUAACUGACGCUGAGGAGCGAAAGCAUGGGGAGCGAACAGG